GACGAACGCUGGCGGCGUGCUUAACACAUGCAAGUCGAACGGAAAGGCCCUGCUUUUGUGGGGUGCUCGAGUGGCGAACGGGUGAGUAACACGUGAGUAACCUGCCCUUGACUUUGGGAUAACUUCAGGAAACUGGGGCUAAUACCGGAUAGGAGCUCCUGCUGCAUGGUGGGGGUUGGAAAGUUUCGGCGGUUGGGGAUGGACUCGCGGCUUAUCAGCUUGUUGGUGGGGUAGUGGCUUACCAAGGCUUUGACGGGUAGCCGGCCUGAGAGGGUGACCGGCGCGAGUGGGGAGGAGACGCGGAGCAGGCCGAGGAGAGGGGCCGGAGGGGGGAAUAAUGAAGGGUGGGCGGAAGGCGGAGGCGGCAAGGGGGGGGGCGGGGGGACGGUGUUCGGGGUGUACGCCGCGUGGGCGUGGGACGAGGGGGGAGCGCCGGUAAGGAGGAACGGAGCACCGGCGAAGAACGUGGCAGCGGCAGGGGAAAGAGUGGGAAGAGAAAACGUCGAACC
RNAcentral lists this ribosomal RNA (509 nucleotides) under uncultured bacterium. RNAcentral describes it as "partial 16S ribosomal RNA". The stretch from base 18 to 368 matches the Rfam family "Bacterial small subunit ribosomal RNA", at positions 45 to 394 of the family's 1533-position model. The record is from RNAcentral.